RNAcentral lists this ribosomal RNA (446 nucleotides) under uncultured bacterium. RNAcentral describes it as "partial 16S ribosomal RNA". It matches the Rfam family "Bacterial small subunit ribosomal RNA", at positions 338 to 795 of the family's 1533-position model. The record is from RNAcentral.
CCUACGGGUGGCUGCAGUCGAGAAUCAUUCACAAUGGGGGAAACCCUGAUGGUGCGACGCCGCGUGGGGGAAUGAAGGUCUUCGGAUUGUAAACCCCUGUCAUGUGGGAGCAAAUUAAAAAGAUAGUACCACAAGAGGAAGAGACGGCUAAAUCUGUGCCAGCAGCCGCGGUAAUACCGGGGUCUGAAGUGUUGUUCGGAAUCACUGGGUGUAAAGGGUGCGGAGGCUGUUUCGCAAGUCGUGUGUGAACGGCGCGGGCUUAACCCGCGGACGGCAGAUGAUACUGCGGGACUAGAGUAGUGGAGAGGGAACCGGAAUGCUCGGUGUAGCAGUGAAAUGCGUAGAUAUCGAGAAGAACACUCGUGGCGAAGGCGGGUUCCUGGACAUUAACUGACGCUGAGGCACGAAGGCCAGGGGAGCGAAAGGGAUUAGAUACCCUAGUAGUC